AGAGUUUGAUCCUGGCUCAGAAUGAACGUUGGCGGCGUGGAUUAGGCAUGCGAGUCGCGCGAGAAUGUAGCAAUACAGGACAGCGGCGAAAGGGAGAGGACAACCCGGGAAUCUGCCUUGGGGACGAGGAUAGCGUCGGGAAACUGACAGUAAUACUCGAUAAUGUUUGCGGACCAAAGGUGUGAUUCCGCCCAAGAUGAGCCCGUGCCCCAUUAGCUAGUUGGCAGGGUAAUGGCCUACCAAGGCUGUGAUGGGUAGCUGGUGUGAGAGCACGACCAGCCUCACUGGCACUGAGACACUGGCCAGACACCUACGGGUGGCUGCAGUCGAGAAUCUUCGGCAAUGGACGCAAGUCUGACCGAGCGACGCCGCGUGCGGGAUGAAGGCCUUCGGGUUGUAAACCGCUGUCGUAGGGAAUCAAAUGUAUGAGGGUACUCCCUCGUAUUUGAGAGAUCCUAGGAGGAAGGAGAGGCUAAGCUCGUGCCAGCAGCCGCGGUAAGACGAGCUCUCCAAACGUUAUUCGGUAUUACUGGGCUUAAAGAGUCCGUAGGCGGCUCUGUAGGUGAGAUGUGAAAGCCCUCGGCUUAACCGAGGAACUGCGUUUCAAACCACAGGGCUUGAGGGAGAUAGGGGUAAGCGGAACAGAUGGUGGAGCGGUGAAAUGCAUUGAUAUCAUCUGGAACACCGGUGGCGA
This 694-nucleotide ribosomal RNA is filed under the name uncultured bacterium. Its description in RNAcentral is "bacterial SSU rRNA". It matches the Rfam family "Bacterial small subunit ribosomal RNA", at positions 8 to 718 of the family's 1533-position model. The record is from RNAcentral.